GAUGAACGCUGGCGGCGUGCCUAAUACAUGCAAGUCGAGCGAACGGACGAGAAGCUUGCUUUUCUGAUGUUAGCGGCGGACGGGUGUGUAACACGUGUAUAACCUACCUAUAUUUCUGGGAUAACUUCGGGAAACCGGUUCUAAUACCGGAUAAUAUUUUGAACCGCAUGGUUCAAAAGUGAAAGACGGUCUUUCUGUCUCUUAUAGAUGGUUCCGCGCUGCAUUAGCUAGUUGGUAAGGUAACGGCUUACCAAGGCAACGAUGCAUAGCCGACGUGAGAGGGUGAUCGGCCAAACUGGAACUGAGACACGGAAAAGACUCCUACGGGAGGCAGCAGUAGGGAAUAUUCGGCAAGGGGCGAAAGCAUGACGGAGCAAGGCCGCGUGAGAGAUGAAGGUCGUCGGAUCGUAAAACUCUGUUAGUAGGGAAGAAAAGAAGUGUAAGAAAAUGUGGAGAGCAUGACGGUAACUAAACAGAAAGCAACGGCUAACUACGUG
Molecule: ribosomal RNA, 497 nt
Filed under: uncultured bacterium
Lineage: Bacteria
Description: partial 16S ribosomal RNA
Rfam family: Bacterial small subunit ribosomal RNA
Source: RNAcentral